UGAGGAACGAAAGCCGGGGUAGCAAAUGGGAUUAGAUACCCCAGUAGUCCCGGCCGUAAACGAUGGAUACUAGGUGUUGCGGGUAUCGACCCCUGCAGUGCCGAAGCCAACGCGUUAAGUAUCCCGCCUGGGGAGUACGCACGCAAGUGUGAAACUCAAAGGAAUUGACGGGGACCCGCACAAGCGGUGGAACAUGUGGUUUAAUUCGAAGCAACGCGAAGAACCUUACCAGGGCUUGACAUCUGACUAACCUGAAUGAAAGUUUAGGGUGCCCUUCGGGGAGCGUCAAGACAGGUGGUGCACGGUUGUCGUCAGCUCGUGUCGUGAGAUGUUGGGUUAAGUCCCGCAACGAGCGCAACCCUCGUCGUUAGUUGGUAUUGUUGGUAUACUGAUAAUAACCUCUCUAGCGAGACUGCCGGUGAUAAACCGGAGGAAGGUGAGGACGACGUCAAAUCAUCAUGCCCCUUAUGCUCUGGGCUACACACGUUUGACGGGGGGGGGGACAAAGAGCCGCCAACUUGCGAGAGUGAGCAAAUCUCUAAAAGCCGGUCUCAGUUCGGACGCAGUGCACAACUCGACUGCACGAAGUCGGAAUCGCUG
This 600-nucleotide ribosomal RNA is filed under the name uncultured bacterium. RNAcentral describes it as "bacterial SSU rRNA". It matches the Rfam family "Bacterial small subunit ribosomal RNA", at positions 747 to 1337 of the family's 1533-position model. The record is from RNAcentral.